Molecule: ribosomal RNA, 274 nt
Filed under: uncultured bacterium
Lineage: Bacteria
Description: partial 16S ribosomal RNA
Rfam family: Bacterial small subunit ribosomal RNA
Source: RNAcentral
AUACGGAGGGUGCAAGCGUUACUCGGAAUCACUGGGCGUAAAGCGCGCGCAGGCGGUCUUUUAAGUUGGAUGUGAAAGCCUACGGCUCAACCGUAGAACUGCAUCCAAAACUAUUUAGCUAGAGUGUGGGAGAGGAAGAUGGAAUUAGUUGUGUAGGGGUAAAAUCCGUAGAGAUAACUAGGAAUACCAAAAGCGAAGGCAAUCUUCUGGAACACUACUGACGCUGAGGCGCGAAAGCGUGGGGAGCAAACAGGAUUAGAUACCCUAGUAGUCC